Molecule: ribosomal RNA, 300 nt
Filed under: uncultured Kordiimonadaceae bacterium
Lineage: Bacteria; Pseudomonadati; Pseudomonadota; Alphaproteobacteria; Kordiimonadales; Kordiimonadaceae
Description: bacterial SSU rRNA
Rfam family: Bacterial small subunit ribosomal RNA
Source: RNAcentral
CACGUGGGAAUGUGCCUUUCGGUAGAGAACAACGCCUGGAAACGGGUGCUAAUACUCUAUACGCCCUUAGGGGGAAAGAUUUAUCGCCGAGAGAUUGGCCCGCGUUAGAUUAGCUAGUUGGUGAGGUAAUGGCUCACCAAGGCGACGAUCUAUAGCUGGUUUGAGAGGAUGAUCAGCCACACUGGGACUGAGACACGGCCCAGACUCCUACGGGAGGCAGCAGUGGGGAAUAUUGGACAAUGGGGGAAACCCUGAUCCAGCGAUGCCGCGUGAGUGAAGAAGGCCUUAGGGUUGUAAAAC